GAGAGAGUGGCCGAGUGGUCACUGUAAAUCUGUUGAAUUUUUUCUACGUAGGUUCGAAUCCUGCCUCUCCCA
This 72-nucleotide transfer RNA is filed under the name Nicotiana sylvestris (wood tobacco). It matches the Rfam family "tRNA". Rfam says of the family: Transfer RNA (tRNA) molecules are approximately 80 nucleotides in length. Their secondary structure includes four short double-helical elements and three loops (D, anti-codon, and T loops). Lineage: Eukaryota; Viridiplantae; Streptophyta; Magnoliopsida; Solanales; Solanaceae. The record is from Rfam by way of RNAcentral.